UACGGAGGGUGCGAGCGUUGUCCGGAAUCACUGGGCGUAAAGGGCGCGUAGGCGGCGCGGAUAGUCGGCGGUGAAAGCCCGGAGCUCAACUCCGGGUCGGCCGUCGAUACUUCCGGGCUUGAGCACUGUAGAGGCAGAUGGAAUUCCGGGUGUAGCGGUGGAAUGCGUAGAGAUCCGGAAGAACCCCUAUUGCGAAGGCAGCUUACUAGGCUGUAACUGACGCUGAGGCACGAAAGCGUGGGGAUCAAACAGGAGUUAGA
RNAcentral lists this ribosomal RNA (260 nucleotides) under uncultured bacterium. Its description in RNAcentral is "partial 16S ribosomal RNA". It matches the Rfam family "Bacterial small subunit ribosomal RNA", at positions 524 to 782 of the family's 1533-position model. The record is from RNAcentral.